RNAcentral lists this ribosomal RNA (490 nucleotides) under uncultured bacterium. Its description in RNAcentral is "partial 16S ribosomal RNA". It matches the Rfam family "Bacterial small subunit ribosomal RNA", at positions 28 to 507 of the family's 1533-position model. The record is from RNAcentral.
GAUGAACGCUAGCUACAGGCUUAACACAUGCAAGUCGAGGGGCAGCGGGAUUGAAGCUUGCUUCAAUUGCCGGCCACCGGCGCACGGGUGAGUAACGCGUAUCCAACCUUCCGUACACUCAGGGAUAGCCUUUCGAAAGAAAGAUUAAUACCUGACGCUAUGAUGAGAUUGCAUGAUAUCAUCAUUAAAGAUUUAUCGGUGUACGAUGGGGAUGCGUUCCAUUAGGUAGUAGGCGGGGUAACGGCCCACCUAGCCGACGAUGGAUAGGGGUUCUGAGAGGAAGGGCCCCCACAUUGGAACUGAGACACGGUCCAAACACCUACGGGAGGCAGCAGUGAGGAAUAUUGGUCAAUGGACGAGAGUCUGAACCAGCCAAGUAGCGUGAAGGAUGAAGGUCCUACGGAUUGUAAACUUCUUUUAUAAGGGAAUAAACCCUCGCACGUGUGGGAGCUUGUAUGUAACUUAUGAAUAAGCAUCGGCUAACUCCGUG